CAGUCGCCGCGGUAAUACGGAGGGUGCAAGCGUUAAUCGGAAUUAUUGGGCGUAAAGCGCACGCAGGCGGUCUGACAAGUCGGAUGUGAAAUCCCCGGGCUUAACCUGGGAACUGCAUUUGAAACUGUCAGGCUGGAGUCUUGUAGAGGGAGGUAGAAUUCCAGGUGUAGCGGUGAAAUGCGUAGAGAUCUGGAGGAAUACCGGUGGCGAAGGCGGCCCCCUGGACAAAAACUGACGCUCAGGUGCGAAAGCGUGGGGAGCAAACAGGAUUAGAUACCCGAGUAGUCCCUGUCUCUUAUAA
This 301-nucleotide ribosomal RNA is filed under the name uncultured bacterium. RNAcentral's name for it is "partial 16S ribosomal RNA". It matches the Rfam family "Bacterial small subunit ribosomal RNA", at positions 509 to 809 of the family's 1533-position model. The record is from RNAcentral.